Molecule: vault RNA, 106 nt
Filed under: Sparus aurata (gilthead seabream)
Lineage: Eukaryota; Metazoa; Chordata; Actinopteri; Spariformes; Sparidae
Description: Vault RNA (ENSSAUG00010012238.1)
Rfam family: Vault RNA
About the family: This family of RNAs are found as part of the enigmatic vault ribonucleoprotein complex. The complex consists of a major vault protein (MVP), two minor vault proteins (VPARP and TEP1), and several small untranslated RNA molecules. It has been suggested that the vault complex is involved in drug resistance.
Source: Rfam by way of RNAcentral
GCACUGGUUUAGCUCAGUGGUUACUUCCCUCCUCAUAUCUUCCUGAAAGAUUACGCGGUCUCCAUCCCUCCCCGGGAUCAAACCACGGGCGCUGUCCAGUGUUUUC